RNAcentral lists this ribosomal RNA (253 nucleotides) under uncultured bacterium. Its description in RNAcentral is "partial 16S ribosomal RNA". It matches the Rfam family "Bacterial small subunit ribosomal RNA", at positions 524 to 776 of the family's 1533-position model. The record is from RNAcentral.
UACGUAGGGACCAAGCGUUGUUCGGAUUUACUGGGCGUAAAGGGCGCGUAGGCGGCAAUUCAAGUCAUCUGUGAAAUCUCCGGGCUUAACUCGGAACGGUCAGGUGAAACUGCUUUGCUAGAGUGCGGAAGGGGCAAUCGGAAUUCUCGGUGUAGCGGUGAAAUGCGUAGAUAUCGAGAGGAACACCUGAGGUGAAGACGGGUUGCUGGGCCGACACUGACGCUGCAGCGCGAAAGCCAGGGGAGCAAACGGG